Syngnathus typhle (broad-nosed pipefish) is the source of this 295-nucleotide long non-coding RNA. RefSeq lists it as uncharacterized. The transcript has 2 exons. Lineage: Eukaryota; Metazoa; Chordata; Actinopteri; Syngnathiformes; Syngnathidae. The record is from RefSeq and is a predicted model, not a curated record.
GCAGAAGUCCGAAGCGUUUUUUCAGGGUCACCCGGUGUCGAGAGAACUUGUCGUCUGGGGAGAAGCGGGCUGGGUGGGCCGAGCAGGUAGGCUGGCCAUUAGGUGCCACUUUCUGUCAAUCGGCAACAAAACAAGAACAAGACGCCAAAGGACAAACUUAUUCCCGGAAGUUGUCACCUUAAGUAUAUCAAAUACCGACCAGAAGACAAGAUAGCGCAAACAACAUUUAUUGCAAAAAAAAAUGGUCUAAAAAAAGUUUUCCUUCAUUUGCCUGAAUAAAUUCAAAUGUUUGCUA